UAGUUAACCAUAGAUAAAAUACUUAACCUCGGUUAGUGAGCGAGGUAAAUUAACUUUUUUGCCCCUAUGAUAUUAUACCUUCUUCUCUUAAUCAAAAUCCUAUUUCGAUCAAAAGCUUAACAAUGAAAACUCUUCUUCCUCUUCCUCUCCCUCUCCCUCCUUCAUGUUUGUUUCAAACUCAUCGUAACUAGGGUUUUUCCGUCUCCAUUUAUCCACGAUGUGUGUUGCUUCGCCUAUUUUGAGCGCCGAAAAAUUAGUAUUAAAGAGGUAAAGGAGAAAAUGAGUGAGAAAAGAGGUAGACAAGAUGUUGUAAUAAUGAUGAAUGUAUUAGUUUUUAUAGAGAAGAAGAUGGCUAUCGAAAAUUUUUUGGAAGGAUAUUUCUACAUGAUUCUAACAAAUAGGACUUUUAGAUGAAAAUAUUUGUGAUGCCAAAAUUAAUUUUUUUUUUGUUAAAAAAUAAAUAGUGAGCUAACGGUAACAAAUAAGAGGGAUGAAUAUAAACAUCACUAGAUUUUUAAAAGGAUAGAUAUGAAAACUUGAAUUUUGUAGAAAUAUAUCUGCUAUUCAAUAUGUUUACAAGCAGUUGUAUGAUUUUAAUUUCCUAAUUAAUUUUAAUAGGUGCAAUCUGUACUGAUCUAUGUUAGUAAAUUCGUGAAUUAUUCGCGAAUUAUUCGCGAAUUUUUGAAAAAAUGAAUUAAACGACCGAAUUCGUAUUUUGUCCAAAAAUUCGAAAAAAAACGCAUUUUUUUGAUGAAAAAGAACGCUUUUUUUUUUUUAUGAAAAACGUGUUUUUUUGAUGAAUAAUUAUUCGCGAAUUAUUUGGAUCCAAAAAAAGCGG
RNAcentral lists this long non-coding RNA (838 nucleotides) under Ananas comosus (pineapple). RNAcentral's name for it is "long non-coding RNA (ACOM_LNC042826)". Lineage: Eukaryota; Viridiplantae; Streptophyta; Magnoliopsida; Poales; Bromeliaceae. The record is from RNAcentral.